GUGGAUUAGAUACCCUGGUAGUCCACGCCCUAAACGAUGCACACUAGUUGUUGUGAGGCUAGACCUUGCAGUAAUGCAGUUAACACAUUAAGUGUGCCGCCUGGGGAGUACGGUCGCAAGAUUAAAACUCAAAGGAAUAGACGGGGACCCGCACAAGCGGUGGAGCAUGUGGUUUAAUUCGACGAUACACGAAGAACCUUACCUGGACUUGACAUAGUAAGAACUUUCUAGAGAUAGAUUGGUGUCUGCUUGCAGAAACUUAUAUACAGGUGCUGCACGGCCGUCGUCAGCU
Molecule: ribosomal RNA, 292 nt
Filed under: uncultured bacterium
Lineage: Bacteria
Description: partial 16S ribosomal RNA
Rfam family: Bacterial small subunit ribosomal RNA
Source: RNAcentral